This 468-nucleotide ribosomal RNA is filed under the name uncultured bacterium. RNAcentral's name for it is "partial 16S ribosomal RNA". It matches the Rfam family "Bacterial small subunit ribosomal RNA", at positions 28 to 507 of the family's 1533-position model. The record is from RNAcentral.
GACGAACGCUGGCGGCGUGCUUAACACAUGCAAGUCGAACGGAAGGGCCCUGCUUUUGUGGGGUGCUCGAGUGGCGAACGGGUGAGUAACACGUGAGUAACCUGCCCUGGACUUUGGGAUAACUUCAGGAAACUGGGGCUACUACCGGCUAGGAGCUCCUGCUGCAUGGUGGGGGUUGGACAGUUUCGGCGGUUGGGGAUGGAGUCCCGGCUUAUUAGCUUGUUGGGGGGGUAGUGGCUUACCCAGUCAUUGACUGGUGGGCGGCCUGGGAGGGGGAACGGGGACAUUGGGACUGAGAGAGGCCGCAGACUGCUACGGGAGGCAGCAGUGGGGAAUAUUGCACAAUGGGGGGAAGCCUGAUGCAGCAGUGCCGCGUGCGGGAUGAAGGCCUUCGGGUGGUAAACCGCUGUAGCUUGAGACGAAGCGUGAGUGACGGUAAUGGGUAAAGAAGCACCGGCUAACUACGUG